GAUGAACGCUGGCGGCGUGCCUAAUACAUGCAAGUCGAGCGAACGGACGAGAAGCUUGCUUUUCUGAUGUUAGCGGCGGACGGGUGAGUAACACGUGGAUAACCUACCUAUAAGACUGGGAUAACUUCGGGAAACCGGAGCUAAUACCGGAUAAUAUUUUGAACCGCAUGGUUCAAAAGUGAAAGACGGUCUUGCUGUCACUUAUAGAUGGAUCCGCGCUGCAUUAGCUAGUUGGUAAGGUAACGGCUUACCAAGGCAACGAUGCAUAGCCGACCUGAGAGGGUGAUCGGCCACACUGGAACUGAGACACGGUCCAGACUCCUACGGGAGGCAGCAGUAGGGAAUCUUCCGCAAUGGGCGAAAGCCUGACGGAGCAACGCCGCGUGAGUGAUGAAGGUCUUCGGAUCGUAAAACUCUGUUAUUAGGGAAGAACAUAUGUGUAAGUAACUGUGCACAUCUUGCCGGUACCUAAUCAGAAAGCCACGGCUAACUACGU
This 496-nucleotide ribosomal RNA is filed under the name uncultured bacterium. Its description in RNAcentral is "partial 16S ribosomal RNA". It matches the Rfam family "Bacterial small subunit ribosomal RNA", at positions 28 to 506 of the family's 1533-position model. The record is from RNAcentral.